This 4791-nucleotide unclassified non-coding RNA is filed under the name Hevea brasiliensis (rubber tree). Lineage: Eukaryota; Viridiplantae; Streptophyta; Magnoliopsida; Malpighiales; Euphorbiaceae. The record is from RNAcentral.
ACAAUUUACAGCUCCUAAUUUCAAAUCACAACUUCCUUUUUUCAGUACAAUGAACCUGAUUGAAUUGCAAUAAUUCAGGUUGAAUCCAAGAAAACAAUCCAGGAGAAUGUGGAUUAUGAUGUAAGCCCUCCUAUUUGCUACUUGGCAGGACAAUACAGCCAUUCUUGGAUAACAAAACAAAGAAUAGAGGGGCCAGGGCAUUCCCUAAUUCCUAUGGUUGAUCAAUACAAAAACUGUAAAGAAAAAUAAAAGUUAGAUAAUAUAAUGAGUAAUGGUAGUUUCCCAAUCAGGAUAGAGAAGUAGAGAACAGUGGCCCUUCCCAUAAUGCAAUGUCAGCGUUUUUAGUAAGAUUCUCUGUUACACUACGCUUACGACAAGAAACCAAAUUGCGCCCAUAAUAAAUCUUUUACUGAUCUCAUUGUCCCAUUAAACUAACAAAGAAACUCUCUUUCUUAGCUUUCACAAGCAAUCCAAAAUUCCAAAUCAACACACGCUCUUCUCAAAGUCAAUGCACCGACUGCUUUGUGGAUCUGAGUCUUUGGUAGAGAGCCUAGCUGGAACGAGAAUUGGGUUGACGAAUGCUAUGAAAGGACGAAGUAAGAUUUUAGAUAAUGCUUCACUUGUUAAAUUUUUCCAGAAAGCUGACUCGAUUGCUGGCAAUUAUUGACAAGUACGAGUAGAAUAUCCAAAAUUCUAAUAUGUACAGAUUUGUCACAUGUGAUGAUCCGAAAGGAGUUGUAGAAUGUGGAACAGUUAGAAGAUCCAAGAGUGCUUCCCAGAAAAUGGAGGAUAAGAUCAACAGUCGUAGAACACAGAAGAAAUCAAAUACAUCUUUGGCAUACAAGGAAAAGAAAGAAGAGAUGGUUCCUAAGGAGAUUAUAGAAGAGUAUCAUAGUCCAUCUUCAUUUCAGCUCCUAGAGGUCUCCAGAGGAGCUCAGAAGUUGAACCAUUUGAUGGACUCAUUUUCUAAAGGGUUGAGCUAUGAUGGCCAGUCCAAAGAUAUUGCAAAGGAGUUGUUGAAAGGAGCUCUUGAUCUGCAAGAUUCUCUAACCAUGCUUGGCAAGUUGCAAGAAGCCUCACAGUAUAUGGCUCAGUUGAAGAAAAAGCAAAAGGAGAAACCAGAAAGAAGAAAAUUUGAUGAAGUGGGGAGCGAGAAAACAAAUUCACAUCUAUCUGGAGAUCACAAUCACCAACUAGGAUUUCAACGGCCAAGGCUUUCAUCUGAUAGGUCAUCAAAAGAUUGCAUUGAGGAGCUCAGGAAUGCAAUCAGAGACGGCUUGGCUAGGCAAAAUUUGCUUCCAAACACAUCUACCCAGGAGAGAACAAAUUUUGAUAGGAGAAAGGACUCAAUUUCGCAUAUCCCUUCCACUAGCUCAAGCCAAUUGUCAGUGGUUCAGUCAAGCAAUAUUCAUUCUUGUGGCUCCACUGUAUCAGAAAUAGCUUUACAGAAGAAGGGAAAAGGCCCAAAUUUGAUUGCCAAGCUAAUGGGUUUGGAAGACAUCCCCUCGAAGAAAUUGAUGCAGUCUCCAGAGAGACAGUUCAAUAUGGAGAAGAAUGUGAGUCAGCGGAGGCCAGUCUUUGACAUUGAAAUGCCGAAGCUAAGGAAGCCUCAACCGAUAAUACAGAAGGUAGAUUCAGAGCGAAGGACGCUGAAGGAAUUACUUGAAACUGGGCAAUUUCAGGAACUCUUGAAAGGCAGUUCUGACAAAGAGCUCAAGUCCCAUUCUCAUCAAUCUAGUGAUUUCCAUUCUAAACAAAGGUCACUCCAUGAUUUUCCACCAAUUGUACUUAUAAAACCUCCGCGUGUUCCCUGCUUAGAAUCAAAGGAGGCACGUGCACCAAUGGUUUGGGGAGAGGGAUCCUUGAACACAAAAUUGAUGCUGAGAAAAAUGAAAAUAAAAGAAGAUUUCUCUUCCAGAUCAAUAGAUAACGAAGACAGCAAAAUUCACUGCAGAAUAGAAGCAGAUGAGACUCGAAUCAAAAGGGUUAUUCAGGAAGGAGCAAAGGAUCACAUAGAGGUAGUCGUGAUACCAGAAGAGAAAGAAGUCAGAACGAUUGAGCAGAGAGAAGGGGCUGUGAAAGCAAAAAAGGUGCAGACGAAACUGGAAGCGGAAAAGGCUCCAGCGAAAAGAUUUAGCUAUGAAGAAAGAGCUAAAGACCACAAAAGGGCAGUUGCAGGUGCAGAGGAGAAAGAAGUCAAGAAAAGUGUGAAGGAUUCUUCUAUGAUAAAAGAAUCUAAUCCUGCAACUCACCAACGACAGAAAAAAGAUACAGAUAAGAAGGUAGAUAAGAGUCAGAAGGUGGUGGGCAGUGGCAGAAAACCAGUAGAUAGGGAAAUUGUGAAGACUAAAAUUGUGUCUAGAUCUCAAGAUCAACCCACGAUAAGCUCUACGAAGCUGAGGAAACCUGAAAGUGCAAUUGUUACUACUAAACAUCAUAUUUCACAGAACCGACUUGCCACCAGAAAAACCAUCUCAAAGCUCACAACACAAACGACAAUUCAUAAUUCUAAUGAUCAGAAGCAGAAAGAAAAACAAGCAACUGUGCAUACAGCAGCUAUGCCAAUUACUGAUAAUUUAGAGUGCAGAGAAGAUGAUGAGAGGAUUGAUCUCCUAUACAAUGAUCACUCAGAAAAAGAAGGAUCCACUAUCACACAUGAUGAUCAACCAUCUACAGAAGAGGAAGCAAAUGAUUCAAAAUUUCGAACUGAAGAGCAUUGUGGUGGUGACCAGGGUUCCCUUUGUCUAAUCGCCAAAGAAGUGAAUGAUCAAAUGACUCGCAUUGGAACAGAUGACACAAGCUUCGAAAGUUCAUACCAAUUGAAAGAUUUGCUUUUGAGCAGUUCAUCAUUCAUAAACCUCGCAGAGGAACUUUUUCAUCUAAAUAUGAGUUAUCCUAAGAUCUUACCAGCAUCUGGCAUAUACGAUUCAGGAGUAACAGAUGUUAAACUGUCUUUAGAUUAUGCAAAUGAAUUCAUUGAACGUAGAAGCCUUCCUGAUUCACAAACAAGGCAUCUUCCAUUAUCUUAUAUGGGAGAUUCAAGAAUUUCUCUCUCUCUAGAUCAGUUGGUAGAGGAAAUUUGUAGAGGAAUUGAAACUCUUAGGAGCUACCAAAAGCUUGCUUGCGACCACCUUCUUACAGAUAGUUUGUAUGCAACAUUUGAGAAAGAUAUGAGGUGCAAAGGAGUGGUGAGUGGAAUAUGGGAUUUGGGUUGGAGAAAUGGAUUCUCUGUGCAGGAACUUGAGCAAGCUUUAAGUGACAUAGAGAAGUUUCUUGUCAGUGAGUUGAUAGAGGAGGUCUUUUCAUGAUUUCUUAGCAUUUUACAUUUAUGAUUGUAUUUAUAUAGAGGUUGACAGGUAAGCAGUGUUUCUGUAAAUAAGUGACUUCGGUUAAAUAUACAGGACGAAAAAGCUGAGCUUUUUGGCUAUGGCCUCACUGUUAUUGUAACCUUUAUUUGGCUAAAGCUUUAUCUUCAUUGACGUCAAGGCAAGAGGACCACAAGAUGUACAUAACUGAGGUCAAAUUUGAUUGGUUUGAUUGUUGAAUUUCUUGGUCACUUUCUGGAAUCUUGUACUCAAAUGACGACUCCAAUACCAAUUUUCUGAUCAAUUGGAUAACUGUAAAAAAGUCAGAAAGUGGCCUACAUCAUGAGCUUGUUUACCUUACAGCCAGCAUUAGCAAGAGGGCCAUGGAAGACACAUGAAGAGUAACGUCAGGCCAAGAUUCAUUUUGGACAGUAUCUUAACUAAAAUGAGUUUUAAUAAUAAUGCAGUUUGCACUAUUGAAGUCUUUUGGUAUUCUUGUCCAGAAGGUCUAUGUGGUGCUCUGCAUCUCGCCCCUAAGAACCUCAGUUCUUUUAUAUAUUUACAUCAAGCAUCUGAUCAACAUUCCUAACUAGCCUCGUUCUGCCGAGUCAGCCAUUGAACCUGCAAACCUUGUCUUGCAGGGUUUAAUUAAGGUUCGAGAAGAUCAAGGAAGCUCCGCUUCAGUUGCUGCAAAUUGAAACUUCUUGGUAAUGACAGCUACUUAACUUUCAAAACCCUUUAAUAUUUCCAGGAAGCAAAGGCAACCAAAUACAAAAUAAGAAGAUACAGCCAUGCAACUCUUUGCAGAUGAUCAUCAAUGCUUCCAUGAAGUAGUUGAUCCUCCAUUGAUUGCAGAGAAAAGCUAACUAGAAGUUAAAAGUACGAGUCUACAUAUACCAUUUAAACACAAAGAGUUACGUACAACUUCGUAUACACAAGUACAUACCAUCAGCAAAAGAAACCAGUAUCAUCACAUGUUCAAGAUGGUAGGCUUAAGAAGAAGCUCCCUUGAAAACAAGGAAAUUGAGGGACCCCAUGGCAAAAUAGAUGAAAGUCCCUUGUGUGUGAGUAAAGAAACAACCAAAAUUUGAACCCACCACGCAUUGCCAUCCACCACCAUACAUCUUAUCAAAUUCCUUCUUGAUGUGGGCGGCAAUUGAGAUACAAUCAGAAACAUCAUAGACAUCAAGGGCUUGAGAAGCACAUGCCAUGGCUUGGAACUGCAUCUUCACUGGCAUGUCUGUUUCCUUCACCAUAGCUUUUCCUUCCAGCAUCUCGCCCUCUAUCUCGCUUGAAUCACAAAAGGUGGUACUUUCUUCACGUUGUAUCAUAUGAUACUGGGAAUUUGUAGCAGAGAGCCAGCAUCUGAUAACUAACGAGAAGCUUCCCUAUAUAUUUGAUGAGGAAGAAGAAGACGAGGGAUGAAAUAAUCAAAAUAAAUCAUAAAUGGAUGGUUUCAUUUUCGUAUGCGUAGUAAAGCUGGGCA